This is a long non-coding RNA of Hypomesus transpacificus, 3087 nucleotides long. RefSeq lists it as uncharacterized. The transcript is spliced from 3 exons. Lineage: Eukaryota; Metazoa; Chordata; Actinopteri; Osmeriformes; Osmeridae. The record is from RefSeq and is a predicted model, not a curated record.
AGCUUCUCGUGGUUUGCUGCGUUGACGUCAGUCAUCAUCAUGGCUGAUCAAGUUGUGUUUGCUAACUUCAUUGCUGAAGAGCUGGACGAAAUCGAAAUGCCCUUGGUUUUGCAAGAAAUUGUGCACAAUGAGCAACGAUGAGAAUGGUUCCAAAAAUUAAUCAUUUUGUGGUAGACGUCGUCCCACUCUACAGUCCCUCAGAAUUUAAAGGCAAUUUCAGGCUUUCCAAGGGACAGAUGGAGGAUGUCAUAAAUGCCCUUGGUCCACAUUAUAAUAAUUUUUUAAACCAAACCAAACUGCCACUCAAAAACUGUGUUCUUGCCUGCCUCUGGACACUGUCCAAUCAGGAGUCCUAUCGUGGGGUUGCAGAUAGAUUUAGCAUGACAAAAUCCACUCUUGCCAAGCACCUACAUGAUUUUUUCCCUUAUUUAUACACACAUGGCCCACCACAUUUCCUGGCCCAAACAGCCAAAAGCCUGCUGAUGUCCACAGUAGGUUUUGGCACUGCAGGUUUCCCCAACACUUUGUGCAGUGGAUGGGUGUCACAUUCCGAUAAGGAGACUCCAUUGUGACAAUCCCCUGGCAUACUAUAACAGAAAGCAGUUCUAUUCUGUCAUUCUCACUGGGUGUUGUGACAGUCAGCGGCGCUUCUGCCAUGUCAGUAUAGGUCACCCUGGGAGCUGGCAUGAUGCCAGAGCAUUCCAUCUCACAGAAGUUGCUCAUCUUUUUGAAGAAGAUCCCCAGUCCCUUGUCCUGUGUCCCGCAGGGAAUGCACAUAAUUGGGGAUUCUGCCUACCCUCUGUUGCCUCAACUUAUGAAGCCUUACAGGGAUAAUGGCCACUUGACUGCAAGGCCGAGGCGCUUCAACAGGAAUCUCAAUUCUGCCCGUGUGGUUAUUGUGCAUACAUUUGGCAUCCUGAAAUCCAAGUUUAAGAGGCUUCGAUACCUGCAAAUGAAAAGAAUAACGCAUAUAAGUUCAGCAGUUCUGCAUGCUGCAUCCUGCACAAUCUUUGUUUAGAGUCCAAUGACCAAGUGAAUGUGCCGCAUGAAGGUUUGGAUGGUGAACCACAGCCCCCGCAACUCCACAACACUGAUGCAUGUCUCUAUAGAGACAUGAUUUGUCACAGCAUGUAAUCUAGCCAAAAAAUGAAGAAGUUUGAACAAUGGCCAUAGCCCAUUGUUGACCCUUAGUUAAUUAAAAAUGACCUUAUUUGAAUCAAGACCUGUAUGAAACUUCACUGGCUGAACACAGUUAAGCAGAGGGACAGAGAAUUCCAGAUGGGUUUAGUCAUUGACAGCAUUAGGAUAUAUUCAUUUAUAAAGAGGACUUAGAUAUGAAGUAAAGGGUCAAAUGAUGUGUUCUAAACAUUGAAAUAGUUCUAUGGUGUACAUGAGGCAUAUUUACAUUUUUGCAUUUAGCAGACGCUUUUAUCCAAAGCGACUUCCAAAAAAGAAGCUUGAUAGCCCCUCACUUUGCGGAUAGUCAAAACGUGAAGCAUAUGUACAUGCCCUGAAAAGGGUAUUACUGUAAUUGAAUAACCAAUGCACGGACAAACCUUUCCCUCACAUCAAGUACUUAACUGAAGGGAGGGAGCGCCAUGCACUGAAACGUAGCUCAAUCGUUUUACAUCCUCCCUGCUGGAGCCCUAUGGUAACUACAAUGCUCCCGUAUUUAGCACGACACUUUGAACAUAAAAAAACAAGAACAACCGACAACAAUACCCGAGCCAUAAACUGUGAUACACCAACGCACAUUAUUCCAUCGGUCACACAUAGCCUAUUGUGAAAACUAAAUAAGUCCCAAAGGGAAGAACCAUGAGAGCAUGUGGUUAAACAAGUUACAAUUAAAAAUGAACCUCAAAAGUGCAAGGGUGUAGCCUAUCUGUGGAAAAAAGCUACCAACAAAAAGAUUACACAGCAAGCACAUCCAAAUGUAUUUAUCGGAAAUGUUCACAACUCUACUGUAUCAACCUAGACUGUCAGGUUUCCCAUUUCAUCUUACAUUUGCUUUGAAAUGUAAGAGACUGAAUGCAUUAUUCCAUCCUUGUAAUUUAGAAUGGCUAUAAUGUAAGUCCCAUUUAUGCUAAACUACCAGUUAAAGUGAAGGUUUAAGAUGACAGGCUAUAUCUGCUUGCAUUGUUGAGAGCAAAGUUAAAAGGCCACCAGAAUGUUUAACAGUUUCACAUCUUAACAUGAAAACGUCCACCUUGUAAUUGAUAAGUCGGUGUGGACAUUUUGUGGUUAUCAAUAAUAAGCAACACACAUAUCUGAAAUAUGAAAGCUUUAUUGUGAUCAGUUUUCCAGUAGCUCGAUUAUCUGCCCUUGUUGUUGACUUAUUUCUUGGAGUUGCUCCCCUAUGGUUCCAAGGCUGGCCAAGAGCUUCCUUUCAAAGGUACGCCUACGCCUCUCCUCUAGACGCUGCCAUCUCUCCAGGUCUGGCCUGACCAGGGACUCCAGCACAGCAGUCCUCCUCUCCGCAUGGGCUUCAUAAGUGUCCACGAAGGACGGUCCUGGUCUUUGCCUGCUGGUGCUGGUGCUGGUGCUGGUGCUGGUGCUGGGUCCAGGGUGCUCCACUCCUCUGGAAGACACACCCUCACCGGCUGGGUUUGCUUGUGGUGGCUGUGAGAUUGUGUGUAUGGGUGUUUUUUCCAGACCCAGAGGAGUGGAAAAAACAGUGCCUGGUGGUGCAGAACCGAUCCCAGAGGUCCCAAAUAAGUCAUCCAUUUGCUGGAGGGGAAAAAGCAUGUCAAUGUACCUUGCAAAUGAAUCAUUAAUAUUUUGUCAGACAUGAAAAUGGCAUUUCAGAUAUGCAGGCAUAUACUUACUGUAUAAUACUCCCAUGUUUGUGUCCCCUCCCCAGUUGCACCGCGUCUAUCUUUUAUUCUUUUGUAGGUGGUGAGCAUGUUUGACAGUUUUAGGGGUGCGGGGGACCAAAGGGUUCAAAAUUGGUGUCUGGUUGGUGUUGGUGGCUGUUGAGGGAUAAGAUUGCAGAAGUGGUUAGUUUUUAAAUAUUAACACUAUGUGCCUAUUAAUUAGGUGAAGAAUGUGUACCUGGCUUUGUCUCUACAUGGUUUAUUUGUUCCAGGA